Molecule: long non-coding RNA, 2083 nt
Filed under: Salmo salar (Atlantic salmon)
Lineage: Eukaryota; Metazoa; Chordata; Actinopteri; Salmoniformes; Salmonidae
Description: lncRNA (ENSSSAG00000108276.1)
Source: RNAcentral
UAUAUACUAGUUACACUAUAGCAUAAUGAGUAGUAUCAGUUAUACACUAGUUACACUAUAGCAUAAUGAGUAGUAUCAGUUAUGCACUAGUUACACUAUAGCAUAAUGAGUAGUAUUAGUUAUAUACUAGUUACACUAUAGCAUAAUGAGUAGUAUCAGUUAUACACUAGUUACACUAUAGCAUAAUGAGUAGUAUCAGUUCUGCACUAGUUACACUAUAGCAUAAUGAGUAGUAUCAGUUAUACACUAGUUACACUAUCGCAUAAUGAGUAGUAUUAGUUAUAUACUAGUUACACUAUAGCAUAAUGAGUAGUAUUAGUUAUAUACUAGUUACACUAUAGCAUAAUGAGUAGUAUCAGUUAUAUACUAGUUACACUAUAGCAUAAUGAGUAGUAUCAGUUAUACACUAGUUACACUAUAGCAUAAUGAGUAGUAUCAGUUAUACACUAGUUACACUAUAGCAUAAUGAGUAGUAUCAGUUAUACACUAGUUACACUAUAGCAUAAUGAGUAGUAUCAGUUAUACACUAGUUACACUAUAGCAUAAUGAGUAGUAUCAGUUAUACACUAGUUACACUAUCGCAUAAUGAGUAGUAUCAGUUAUUUUGAAGUUUAGGCUUUUUCCAAAGUGUUCCGAUAACAUUGACAUGUCCAUGUUUUUGAACAAUGCAGAAAUAUCUAGCAAUACAAUAAUAACAACACAAACAUAAUAACUAUAUAUAUAUAUAUAUAUAUAUAUAUAGUUAUUAUGGCCUCCCUUUUACUUGCCUGGUCCUGACUUUGAAACCUGAAGACUGAAAACAACAAAAGAACAAAGCCAUUUAAAAGGAAGUACACUGCUUUAAUCCACGAUUUGAAAGUAGAAAAUAAGAUAUUGUUGAAAAAGAUGAGUUUCACUGGAUCAAAAGGUGAUGCUAAUGUAUGUUUCCAGCAGCAGUGUCCCUAAUGCUGCAGGGUCUCAUCGUUCCUUCUCUAUGUUGGACUGAACUGUUUCAUCUCUUCACAAGUGAAUUCCUCAAAGCCAUAAAGUGGGGGAGAAGGAGACCAUCUACAGUAUGACAGGAGCAAAGGUGUUCACCCAGAGAAGGAGACCAUCUACAGUAUGACAGGAGCAGAGGUGUUCACCCAGAGAAGGAGACCAUCUACAGUAGACAGGAGCAGAGGUGUUCACCCAGAGAAGGAGACCGUCUACAGUAUGACAGGAGCAGAGGUGUUCACCCAGAGAAGGAGACCGUCUACAGUAUGACAGGAGCAGAGGUGUUCACUUGAGGAGUCUUCUCGGUCAAGAUAAGAUUUCCUGCUUGCCAUACUAGAGGGAGAUACUGGUUAUCUUUCAACUCCACACCAUGGGAUGAUUGACCUGGAUCUUAACCAGAACAGACUUCACCAGACACAGUAGAAGUGAGGUCACAGGAAACAGACUGAUUUGUGAAGAGGGACUACAUCACCCAGAAAGCAUUGUGUCCCUGGAGGCCAGAGCUUUGUUGGAUGUAAUGCCUUGUUCUCAACCUCUGAGUGUUCGGAAAUAAGACUUGUAAACUCGGUGCAUUCACGUACCUUGAACCAAGGUCAACCAUAAACUAACAGUACAGCUAUCAUGCUGGUAUGAAACGGCAGUUGAAAAUAGGUUUUCUAGAUCAGUCCAAACAUUCCUCCUGACUGUUAUAAUCAACAUGUUUGAAUGCUAAAAUGAUAUGGGACAUUUUUCUAUUGCAACGCUUGAAUCACGUUCAUAUUUUUGGUUAUAACCCGCACAACUUUUCAGCUCUUGGUUGUUUGCUUUUAAAAAUAGUUUUUAGUACUAACUUUUGUUUGUUUACAUUAAACUACUAGUUUUUGUUGUUUCCACUAAGACUGUAAUGUCAUUGUAAUUGGCAACAGUGUGGUGUUUUUGGGGUGAUUUUAACUCACAUCUCUAAAGAUAAACCACUCCAGUUCUUAGUCCAUGAAAAGAGGUUGAUUUAAUAGUUAAUGGUAACUUGAUAUAGCUCCUUGUGGUUUGACAUUCAUAUGGUCCCCCUGCCUGUGUGGGAUCGAAUCCCGGCCUCUGUAUCUCCACUUUAUUCAUAUCUGUCACAAUAAAC